This 397-nucleotide ribosomal RNA is filed under the name uncultured bacterium. Its description in RNAcentral is "bacterial SSU rRNA". It matches the Rfam family "Bacterial small subunit ribosomal RNA", at positions 29 to 426 of the family's 1533-position model. The record is from RNAcentral.
AUUAAACGCUGGCGGCAUGCCUUACACAUGCAAGUCGAACGGCGGCACGGGGGCAACCCUGGUGGCGAGUGGCAAACGGGUGAGUAAAGCAUCGGAACGUGCCCUGGAGUGGGGGAUAACGUAGCGAAAGUUACGCUAAUACCGCAUAUUCUGUGAGCAGGAAAGCAGGGGAUCGCAAGACCUUGCGCUCUGGGAGCGGCCGAUGUCGGAUUAGCUAGUUGGUGGGGUAAAGGCCUACCAAGGCGACGAUCCGUAGCGGGUCUGAGAGGAUGAUCCGCCACACUGGGACUGAGACACGGCCCAGACUCCUACGGGAGGCAGCAGUGGGGAAUUUUGGGACAAUGGGCGAAAGCCUGAUCCAGCCAUGCCGCGUGAGUGAAGAAGGCCUUCGGUUGGU